RNAcentral lists this long non-coding RNA (1048 nucleotides) under Homo sapiens (human). Its description in RNAcentral is "non-protein coding ITGB1-DT:32". The record is from RNAcentral. Lineage: Eukaryota; Metazoa; Chordata; Mammalia; Primates; Hominidae.
GGCUAAGCCAGGACUGCUUUUCUGGAGUGAUAAUGUGCUUGCCUGUGUCUAAGAGAAAGUACCCUGGCUGAUAAAUGGGACUUGGAUUUUAAAUACCAUUGGAUAAUAAAUGUAUGUGAUGGCUUUGGAGCAAAUUGAUUGACAAUGGCUAGGAGACAGCUUCCCAAGGCUGGAAAGAGGGGAGUGCGGAACAUGCCUCCACCAUACCACUGCCCACCUCCUGUGACCUCUGCAGCAAAACCUGAAGCCCCAAAGAGGCAGCUUCUCAAAGUAAAAGUGGAAUGAAGUUCCUGGUGACCUGAAUUCCCAUGGAGGAAAGAGGAAAAGGACAUUAUGCAAGGAGAUGGCAUCUCGUGUCCCUGGUGAACCAAAUUCCAUUAGGAAGACGGUGCAGUGUGAGGUGGACCUGGACCUGGAUAAAAUGGGUGUUUAACAAGUAUUUGUUGAGUAGGUGGUGGAGGAGGCACGACUAGAUGCAGGGUCUAGCUGAGUUGACAAGAGCUAACACCAGGUGUGGACCAGGACAGGGGGACCUUAAGCGAAGACACCCUGCCAGAUGUGUCUUGUUCCCUUGACUGUGGGGAGGCCCUUGGUGGUGGGGUGACGGUCCCCCAGUCUGAGGAUUUUCCCUGGAUGUAGCCUCUCAGUGCUAAAAUGGGACAGUCCCAGGCAAACCAGGUCAGUUGGUCACUCUACUCAGUGAGCCCCGUGCUGUGUUCAAAUUUUCCUCUUAACAGAUGUGGAUGGAUUUCGGAAACUUAGAAACCACCAUUUCUCUGUGCCUGGGAGGAGAGUUAAAUCUUCUCACCAGAAUCCUUUUAUGUGUGAGAGAAAUAAAUAUCUAUCCUUUUUAUAUCUCUUUUGUUUUGGAUUCUUUGUCACCAGCAGCCAAACCCAAUUCUUACAUAAACGUGAUACUAAUUAAAUUCAUUUGCAUAAACUCACCAGUUUUAUCCUUAAUUACUGUGAUAUACACUCAUGAAGUAUGUACCCUAAAAUACCACUGUAAGUUUUAUUUGAUUACAGCAUUAAACUUAAUUUACAGAAA